Molecule: ribosomal RNA, 519 nt
Filed under: uncultured microorganism
Description: bacterial SSU rRNA
Rfam family: Bacterial small subunit ribosomal RNA
Source: RNAcentral
GAGUUUGAUCGUGGCUCAGGACGAACGCUGGCGGUAUGCCUAAUACAUGCAAGUCGAGCGCAGAAAGCAGACCGAAGCCUUCGGGUGGAUGUCUGUGGAAUGAGCGGCGGAUGGGUGAGUAUCACGUGGGUAACCUGCCUGUAAGCUUGGGAUAACUCCGGGGAAACCGGUGCUAAUACCAGAUAAGAUUUCCGUUCGCAUGAACGGAAAAUGAAAGGCGGCUUUUGCUGUCACUUGCAGAUGGACCCGCGUCGCAUUAGCUAGUUGGUGGGGUAAAGGCUCACCAAAGCAACGAUGCGUAGCCGACCUGAGAGGGUGAUCGGCCACACUGGGACUGAGACACGGCCCAGACUCCUACGGGAGGCAGCAGUAGGGAAUCUUCCGCAAUGGACGAAAGUCUGACGGAGCAAUACCGCGUGAGUGAUGAAGGUCUUCGGAUCGUAAAACUCUGUUGUUAAGGAAGAACAAGUGCUAAUCUAAUACAUUAGUGCCCUGACGGUACCUAACCAGAAAGCCCGG